CCCAAAAAUUCAUUACAGUUUCCUCAAGGACGACUUUCCAUGUAUUGAUUCACAUCCUUGAGGUCAAGAAUGAAUUAAUGGAUGAGGGUAUGUACCGAUCCGGUUCAAUAGAAUUAAUUAGGCAAAUAAAGGAAUGUCGGCAGUGGGAAUGGAAGUCGAGUUGCGGAAUAAUAAUGGAGUCCACAUUAAAUGGCUAAAAUCAUGAGUCAUUAAUGUGGUCAGCAACAGUAGUUAUAUAACGACAUAGAAGGGAGGAAUCACAUAGCGAUAAUCCUGAGUCGAGACUCACAAUGGAUGCCCAUUUAUUUUAGUUAUCAUAGAGUAGUUCAGUUUUCAAUUUCUUGUAGUCAAUAUCUUGUUUUCCUAUUGAAUAAAAUCAGAAAAUUGUCCCAAAAACACGAGUUUCUACUCUUAUUUGUGAUCUACAGUCAGGUCUUAGUGAGGUCCUGACAAUUUCCUUAGUAGCGGUGUCUUCUUGUUGUUGUGUAGUUGUUUCUUAUAUUAGCUGCUCAAUGACUUAUAGAUGUUUUCUUCCUCUUCUCAUUGAAUAGAGUUGCUUGUUUCUUUCAUAAAUUGUAUUGUUUUCUUGUUUUAUUCAAGGUACUCUUCUUCUUCUUCCUCUUUUCCAACAUUCAAUAGGUUUAAAGUUUCGUAAUCUGCUUUGUUUUCUUAUGUACAAUCAAUAAAGAUUAUUGGGUUGAGCUUUCUUGUAGUUGAUUCGAUUUUGUGAAGUGACUUAUGAGACUGUAAGAAAGAGAAAUAAGGGUGUGUGAUAUUUCUUGCUUCGUCAUAUCUAACGACGGAGGAUCAUGGUGAUCCUGGAAAGAAAUAAUUCCUCUAUUUGUUAUUAGAAUUUAAUCUUAUAUGAAAUCAAUGACUAUCUUAGAUGAAAAUAUUGAUCUUUUUGAUGAUUUUUCGUGUAAAUUAUCAUAUAGUAGGAGUUAGGAUUUGAGUCACCUCAUAUUCACAGUUAACUUUCCACCAUCUCGUUCUGGGCACAAAAGGUUAAGUAGGCUGCUUUGACAUAGUUUAAAAAAUCACCUUUUUGCCCCCCAUGUUAAUCUAUUUGAAGUCUCAUCAUUGUCUAUGUGCAAUUGUGGGGUUCAAGUACUGCCUAUUAAUUUUAAGUUAAUUUAUAAUAAUUCCUAGUGCUAUUUAUCCUUAGAUCUUAAUAACAAGUUGUUUGCAUCAUAGCAUUUUUGUUAUUUUUAUGGUCUUGAAGGUAGGGGUAUACCCACAUGGGUUUCAAGGGGAUCAACUGAAUUCCCUCGAACAAAAAUUACACCGUAUAUAGUAGGGGCGGACCCACGUGUCGUCCAGGGUGUUUACCCGAACACCCUCGAUAAAUACAUUGUAUACCUAAGGUGAAUUUUUUGGAUUGUGUUGAUAUAUAUAUUUUGAACACACUGAAUCACAAAUGGAUGAGAUAGACCAGCGGUAGCUGAGCUCAAAGUUACGCGCGAUGUCUAGGAUUUGAGUCCCUAGGUUGGCGUUUUAUUUUUUACAUUUUUUGGUUUCAAUUUUUUUAGUCAAAUGUUUAUAAUUUUAUUUUCCGAACCUCCUCAAAGAAAAUUCUAGGUCCGCUACUGCUAUAUAUAUAGGGUAAAUUUUUAUUAUUUAUGUGGAUAUAUGUAUUUUGAAUCCAUUAAUGACAACAAGAAAUUGAUAGUCAAAUGGCAGAUCUCUUGAAAGUAAGUUUCAUGCUGAGGGUCCAAAUUCCUCUAUUAGCGUUCUAUUUUUUUCUUCUUACUUUUCAGUCUUUUCACUUUUUUUUUUAGUUUUUUAUUUUGUAAAACGUCUUUUUUGUUUUAAACUAAAUAAUGAAGAGGUCCUCCACUAAAACUAUAUACAACUACUUCCUUGAAAUUUUGUUUUAUUAAAUUAUUUACAUAUUUAUACUUUUAUUUUUCGAACCCCCAAAAUGAAAAUCCUUGAUCCAGCACUACUUGAAGGUUAUGACACCUAGUACGCAAUGAAUGCAACUUAUAAAUAACUGACUCGAUGCAAUCUACUUAGUUGGCGUGGAGAAGUUUUGGAUUAUGCCUUCAAAAAAUAGGAGAAGAAUAUGAAAUACGAUGUUCAUUUGUCAAAUAUUACAAUACAACUUUAAGAACUCGUCAAAUAGUUGAGACACAUUUUCUAGUAUAUGGAAUACUUCGUAAUUGUAGAUUUGGUAUAACCAUGGAGAACGUUUGGGUGAGCGAUUAUCAGAAUCAUAAUCAAGAGAUGAAGAUGAAGAACAAUAUGGUGAGGCAGUAGAAAAAUGUGAGAGUGAAGAUGAAGUAGAAGAGUUAUUGAGGGAUUUGUAUCUUAAUCAUGACGGAGGAAUUAUGCAUACUGAUUGUGAUGACUUACUUGAAGAGGAACCAAAUUUUGAAUUUUUUUUCUACAAGCUAUCAAAGGAUUUCGAGUUGCCAUUAUACCAAAAUUCAAAAGCUUCAAACCUUCCCUUUUUGAUAAAUUCUUCAUACUAAAAGUAUGGGUCGUUGAAGUAAUGCAUCAUUUACAAUGCCAUUGAAACUAUUGAAAGAAGAGUUACUGUGUAACA
Long non-coding RNA from Solanum lycopersicum (tomato), 2548 nucleotides. RefSeq lists it as uncharacterized. The record is from RefSeq and is a predicted model, not a curated record. Lineage: Eukaryota; Viridiplantae; Streptophyta; Magnoliopsida; Solanales; Solanaceae.